Molecule: ribosomal RNA, 2028 nt
Filed under: gut metagenome
Description: bacterial LSU rRNA
Rfam family: Bacterial large subunit ribosomal RNA
Source: RNAcentral
GAAAGUAAUAAAGAGCGUAUGGGGGAUGCCUAGGCUCUUGGAGGCGAAGAAGGACGUGGUAAGCUGCGAAAAGUCGCGGGGAUUUGCAAACGAGAAUUGAUCCGCGAAUAUCCGAAUGGGACAACCCGGCAGGCAGAAGGCCUGUCACCCAGCAAUGGGGGCUAACCCUCUGAACUGAAACAUCUAAGUAGGAGGAGGAGAAGAAAGAAACAUCGAUUUCCAAAGUAGCGGCGAGCGAAAUGGAAGGAGCCCAAACCGGUAUUGUUACGGCAAUGCCGGGGUUAUAGGACUGCGAGAUUCGAAGGACAAAGAACUGGAAAGAUUUGGAAAAGUCGACCAUAGAGAGUGAAAGUCUCGUACAGGUAAUUGAGUUCAAAGAUAGCAGUAUCCUGAGUAUGGCGGGACACGAGGAAUCCAGUCAGAAUUUGCCGGGACCACCCGGUAAGGCUAAAUACUCCCAAGAGACCGAUAGUGAACCAGUACUGUGAAGGAAAGGUGAAAAGAACCCCGAACAGGGGAGUGAAAAAGAACCUGAAACCAUACGCUUACAACCUGUCGGAGCGGCUUCGUGCCGUGACGGCGUGCCUAUUGAAUAAUGAGCCUACGAGUUACUAAUCACUGGCGAGGUUAAGUGCUAGGAAGCACGGAGCCGAAGCGAAAGCGAGUCUGAACAGGGCGUUUAGUCAGUGGUUGUAGACGCGAAACCUUGCGAUCUACCCUUGAGCAGGAUGAAGGUUGGGUAAAGCCAACUGGAGGUCCGAACGAAUAAGCGUUGAAAAGCUUCUCGAUGACUUGAGGGUAGGAGUGAAAGGCCAAUCAAGCUGGGAAAUAGCUCGUACUCCCCGAAAUGCCUUUAGGGGCAGCGUUGUAAUAAAGAGUCUACUGGAGGUAGAGCUACUGAUUGGAUGCGGGGGCUUCACCGCCUACCAAAUCCCGACAAACUCCGAAUGCCAGUAGUAUGAUUUACAGCAGUGAGCCACCGGGUGCUAAUGUCCGGUGACAAAAGAGGAACAACUCAGACCAGCAACUAAGGUCCCCAAGCGUAUGCUAAGUUGAACUAACGAUGUUUUGUUGCAUAGACAGCUAGGAUGUUAGCUUGGAAGCAGCUAUUCAUUCAAAGAGUGCGUAACAGCUCACUAGUCGAGCGACAAAGCGUGGAUAAUAAACGGGCAUCAAGCAUACCACCGAAGUUCUGGGCGCGAAAGCGCGGUAGGGGAGCAUUCCAUUCAGCGUCGAAGCAGCGUCGUGAGAUGUUGUGGAGCGUAUGGAAAAGCAAAUGUAGGCAUGAGUAACGAUAAUGCGGGAGAGUAACCCGCACACCGCAAGACCAAGGUUUCCUGAUCAACGCUAAUCGGAUCAGGGUUAGUCGGGUCCUAAGGGUAAGCCGAACGGCGAUCUCGAUGGAUAAUCGGUUAAUAUUCCGAUACUGACAUAUACCUCGAUGGAGAGACGAAAUCGCGUAAGUACCGCCUCCUGACGGAAUAGGAGGUUAAAGGGCGUAUGUAUAGGGGCAGAUUAAGAGUCAGUCCUUGCUGAAACCCGACAGUACAGAGAGCCUACGGGCAAUUUGAUAGUGUACCCAAGCAUGUUUCCGAGAAAAUCUUCUAAGUUAUAGUAUAUGUCACCCGUACCGUAAACCGACACAGGUGGUCGAGGAGAGUAUCCUAAGGUGCUCGAGUGAAUCACGGUUAAGGAACUAGGCAAAUUAACCCCGUAACUUCGGGAAAAGGGGUCCCUACGCGAGUAGGGCGCAGCGAAGAGGUCCAGGCGACUGUUUAUCAAAAACACAGGGCUCUGCAAAUUCGAAAGAAGAAGUAUAGGGCCUGACACCUGCCCGGUGCUGGAAGGUUAAGAGGGGAUGUCAUCGCAAGAGAAGCAUUGAAUCGAAGCCCCAGUAAACGGCGGCCGUAACUAUAACGGUCCUAAGGUAGCGAAAUUCCUUGUCGGGUAAGUUCCGACCUGCACGAAUGGUGUAACGAUCUGGACACUGUCUCAACCGUGAGCUCGGUGAAAUUGUAGUCCCGGUGA